This is a long non-coding RNA of Ananas comosus (pineapple), 411 nucleotides long. RefSeq lists it as uncharacterized. The record is from RefSeq and is a predicted model, not a curated record. The transcript has 4 exons. Lineage: Eukaryota; Viridiplantae; Streptophyta; Magnoliopsida; Poales; Bromeliaceae.
GGAAUAUGGUUUUGCGGAGCAUAUCAAGCUCGACCCUUGGACCUCUUCAGAUGGUGCUGGAGCUCAGAGAAGACUUCUUCACCUCCUCCACACUCUUUCUCUAGGGUUUUUCUCUCUCUACAACGAAAUCGCCGAUUUUGCUUGUUUUCGUCGCAACGUUGGUUUUUCGCUGGUUGCGAGCGUCGCUGAGCCUACGUGGUCGUGUGAGGGAGUAUUUUGAAGGGUUUUUCGCAGCCCUGAGCCAGUGAGGUGCUGGUUGGAAGCUAGAGAAGCAGGUUUCUGAACCACGUGAAGCUUAUUUGGUGACCUGGGAGGCUGGUUUAGAAGGUGUUCUAUCCUAAGCGGGAUUGCGAUCGAGCCCUGAAUUGUCCUCGACUGACUUGUGAGAGCUCUUGGAGGUUACAGUUGAGG